CGCAAUCAACGAGCGACGGCAGCUUUGAUUGUUGUUUGUGCAAAUCGUGGCCAGACAAAACUCAGUUUGUUGUUUGACUGACAAGGGGACCAUGACGGUAUUAUAACACACAGAAAAGUGUCCAACCUGCACAUUCAUGUCUGCUGUCAUCAAUACCAUCUAUGGUUGGAAAGGCUUAAGAACAAUGGCAAAUGUGCUGGCUAGAAGAACACCUAAAGGGAAGCGAGAGCAUAACAUCUAGAAAGGCUGUUAUACUGCCGGUCCAACAAACCAAAAGGGAAGCGAGGACAGGAGAGCAGAGAGCGGGUAUUGGGAUGGGGUUAAGAAGCCAAAGGAGGACGUCAUGGUUCACAGCGGCUCUGCUUCCCCAAUGAACACAACACCGUCAGCAUCACCUCAUUUAACUACAGCACCUCCUUUAGUCCCUCCAUCUGGAGGUACUACAGAUCAGGACCAAACCCAGUCCCCCACUAAACUCCUCACCGCAGGCCUUACCUCCAACUCCAGUCUGACUCAGACCGGCACUCCUGCUGAUACAGAGCAGCCUGUUGUAAUCCCAGCCAAAGCAUUAACUACUAAGUCAAGCCAGGAAUCAGUCUGGUCUUCUACACAGACACCAACACCUGUUCCCGGCCCAGUCAAUGGCCGCACAUCGGGCAGGAAGAGGACUCCAAAAUCCUGUGACUGUUGUGGCCCCAACAGCACGGGGCACAAUGUCAGAACCUCGGGGACGGGGAAGGGGAGAGGAAGAGGAAGGGUGGCCGGCAGGGACCCUGGGGUCACUCCUAAAAGGAAAGUGGACCAGCUGACGCAUAUCAAGAGCUUUGAUUUGACCAAGGGGGAAGUAAACGAUGAAGAUAAGGUGCAAAUGGCUGUUGCGCUGGCUAAUACACAGUCACAUACGCCUGUUGCCAAGGCUGUCACCGUCCCCUUGCAGGAAGAAUCCCUAAGGAACUGUGUCAUUCCAGAGAAAGGAGAUGCGCAUAAAAAGGAGGAUGCAUUGAUAGACAGCUCCGCGGCAUCUGAUGUAGUAGAAAAAAGAGGUGGGGAUUACAAGAGUGCAGAUGUCCGAUUGAUAGGUACUGUGGGCGUGGGGUCACUAGUGGUUAGAGGUCAAGGAAGGGAAAUGAUGAAAGCCGCAAGCGCAUCGAAUAUGGAAGUUAACACUGAAGUUAAAAAGGGAGAUACUGGUGCUGCUGUCUGUUCUAAAACCGAGGCCUUGGCUCCGUCAGUGGUGCAGAGGGAAAUUCAAGAUGCACAGAUGCAUCACGGGGACCAGAAUGACCCCAGCUCAGUUAAUUGUCCACUUAGAAACGGCGACACGGUAGACCUGUCUGACACCGACGGAGAAGGAGAGGAAAGCAACAUGAUUGUGACCGACCCUGGAAACGUACAGCUGUCCAUCUCAUGGCAGUCAGGCCACGCUUCGAGAUCAGGAACAACUCAGGACCUUGACUCUGAGAUGCAGGUGGAUCAAGUCCCCGACGGAACAGACCGAGUUGCUUUAUUGGUAGCGCUGUCCAAUGGAAACGUUACGGCACCAGCAGACCACAACCGUGGAUCUACAACUAUGGAGGUGGACAGUUCUCAUCCGGCUGUGGUUCCUCCACCAGACUACUGCCCUGUUACAGUGAGCAGCAACCAACACGGCUGGGCAUUAAGUGACCACAGACUGUAUUGUCAGCCUGGCACCUGGGAGAAAGACCAGAUGGAUGAAAUGAUGCACGAGAAUCGGUCAGAAAACACAGAUGUAACGAUGCAGCAUCAGGAGAGUCUGGAGCAGCUUACUGAUACCAUCCAUGGUAAGAUGUGGUUUAGGGUUCACGGUGCGAAACCAUGCCUGAGCAUGAAUAUAUUCAUCACCCUCUCCGUUUGGUAAAUGAUUGAUGUUUUACACACAAAGAAGCGACUGCUGAGAGCAUCAGCAUUUUUUUUUUAUGUCAUAAAAGAUCCAUAAAACAUUCCUGGCCUUGUCCAGUAAGUGUUAAUGUGCACACAUUUGAUCUAAGCUCAU
Long non-coding RNA from Oreochromis aureus, 2014 nucleotides. The record is from Ensembl. Lineage: Eukaryota; Metazoa; Chordata; Actinopteri; Cichliformes; Cichlidae.